CAACCAUGACCUGGAUGACUGAGAACCUCCAUAAAUAUUUUUAUCUCAAAACUGUCCCCCGCUUUGUUCACCUCUCAGCCCCACCCCCGCUCUUAUUUUGUGCUCUUAAAAUUCACGGCCCUAUGUUUUUGUAAAGCCGUACAGGCAACUUGUCCCAUCAGAAAAACAGGUUUUAAAUAAAUUCCUUUGAAAUUACACAUGUUGGCAACGCAGAAGAAAAAACCGGCUUGCUCUCCCACACACUCUGCUUGCGAACCCCUCAGGCAUGUUGAAGUACUUUU
Non-coding RNA from Notechis scutatus (mainland tiger snake), 281 nucleotides. The record is from RefSeq and is a predicted model, not a curated record. Lineage: Eukaryota; Metazoa; Chordata; Lepidosauria; Squamata; Elapidae.